RNAcentral lists this ribosomal RNA (427 nucleotides) under uncultured bacterium. RNAcentral's name for it is "partial 16S ribosomal RNA". It matches the Rfam family "Bacterial small subunit ribosomal RNA", at positions 355 to 774 of the family's 1533-position model. The record is from RNAcentral.
UGGGGAAUAUUGGACAAUGGGCGAAAGCCUGAUCCAGCCAUGCCGCGUGUGUGAAGAAGGUCUUCGGAUUGUAAAGCACUUUAAGUUGGGAGGAAGGGCAUUAACCUAAUACGUUAGUGUUUUGACGUUACCGACAGAAUAAGCACCGGCUAACUCUGUGCCAGCAGCCGCGGUAAUACAGAGGGUGCAAGCGUUAAUCGGAAUUACUGGGCGUAAAGUGCGCGUAGGGGGUUUGUUAAGUUGGAUGUGAAAUCCCCGGGCUCAACCUGGGAACUGCAUUCAAAACUGACUGACUAGAGUAUGGUAGAGGGUGGUGGAAUUUCCUGUGUAGCGGUGAAAUGCGUAGAUAUAGGAAGGAACACCAGUGGCGAAGGCGACCACCUGGACUAAUACUGACACUGAGGUGCGAAAGCGUGGGGAGCAAACA